ACCCGGUUGGACAUUUUUAUUGGUAAUAAAAGGAAAGUAGAGAAGUGCUUGACCCAUGAACGAGAUGGAUUUGGAAGAUGGAUUUGAAGCUAAGAAUGCCUGAUGUUCAGCACUGCUCUGUACAGAUUCUUUCCAAGGGCCUGAGAGGAACCCCACUUAUUCUGCUUUCAUUACCUUUUAACUUUUUAUUUAAAAUACUCCCCAAAACUACAUACUCACCAGGACCCACAAUACCUGAUUGUGAACCUAAAAAUGGAUUAUGGAUUCGUGAGGCUACAUGAUCUAUCAGCACACUUAUGUGGACCAAAGCUUUCUAGGGGAUUUAAGUAAGAUGUUAGAACUGUCUUCUACAUCACAAACACAGAAAGGUAUGAUAAAAUUAAAGCAUCACCAGCCUACCAGUCGGUCCACCACCACUGCCACAAGUGAGCACUUAAUGUUAGCUCACUGUCGUUCAUCACGUCAAAUCAGUAUUGUUCAUCUGAGUGCGGCAUUUGUCAUUUUGUUGGAAUUCAGUGUGCAAAUUUGUUUUGGAUUUUCAGUUGUAGAUGCACUAUAAGCUGAAGGGAUGUACGUCUACUUUUGAAUUUGUAUAUACUGACGGAACAUUACAAUAUGAAAUAAUUUCAAUAUGGUACAAGGCAAAUAUAAAAAAUGGGGCAGGGAGGGAGAAAGGAAAGAAUUAAGGAAGUUGGGAAGGAAGCAAAGGGAACUUAGUCUGGAACCCCAAAGAAAACAACUCUAUAGCCUAAGGGUUCGGAUUCCUAAAUCACAAACAUCACCUCAUGGAUUGCUUGGGUGUCACACAAUGAGACCCAGACCUGCCUUAAGUAAUGUUCUCAUUUAUUCAACAAAAUUUCUGGCCCCAUUAAGGCCCUAUGCUUAAGUCUGAUAGAUGGUUUAUUAUUUACUACAGCUACCAAGGAGGGGAGAGACGAGAAUGGAACAUUCUCCAGGUAAAAAUGCACAAAUCUAGGUAGAAAUAAUCUCACCUACAUAACGAUCACAAAUACUUGUUUACAGCCUUUUAGGCAACAUGAGAAGACUAGUAAGGUGCUCAAGAUGACACUUUCCUUUAAGAUUAAAAUAUCUGUGGGAGCUUUUGGUCCAUUAAGGCCCGAAUACGUUUCAUCCACCACGUUCCAAGUGGCAUGCUCCUGAAACUAAUUCCCUCUGCAGUUUAACUCCAGAGCUUCUCAGGGGAAACCAACUAAUUUUUAAUAUUGGAUUAAGCAAAAUACAAUUAGGAAGGCAAAUUUCUAAGAGGGAGAAAUCAUGCAGAAUAUUCCCAAGCCAAUUUGUAUGAUUUUGCAACAUUCAUUGUUUGAGUUCUCCUCUCCAUCCCUCCUUUCACAGGUAAUCAUGAAUUGCCUGUAAUUAAAAAAUCUCAGGUAACUGGCAGCAGGAACAUUCCUUGAGAAUUGUUUCCUAGGUCUCAGUAAUAAGCCUAGAUUUUUAUAUUUGCCACUAUUUUGAUGCUAGAUAUUCCUUCUCCUCUUUGUCUACUUCGAACUUGAGCAUUCUAAGGACUCUCUCCCUUUGAUCUGGAAAGGAAGAGAUACUCUGUUUUAUAUCUACAGCCACAUCUGAGUCCAACAGCUGAUUGUUGCAUCCUUGACCACAUUAUCUUUAUCCCUCCAGGAAUGGGCCUCAAAAUGAAAGAAGUUUGACUGUUAGUGAUUCGUAAGAUAUUAGAGCUCAGCAGGCCCUGAGAGCUGAGCUUGUCCAAAGACAUAUAAUAAGACUGAAAGUAUUCCUUUGUCUGCUUGGAGGGAAACCCCGAUAGGCCCUCUAGAUAUGAAUGUUUAUUUCUAAAUUUGAUUUUUUCCAAACACUUGUUGAAAGAGAUUCAACAAGACCUUACACUAACGGCUACAUUGUCCAAGGAAAUAUCCUUCCAUCUAUAGAUUGGUAGUUGGUUUUUCAUUAGGACGAAGGUUAAUUAAAAUCUUAAAAGAUUUCCACCUAUCUCAAUAUGAGGAAAGGCACAUGAAAAGGGAAAAUUAUCUUGCACUAAAAUCUCGGGGAAUUUUACACACCACUCUUAGAAUAUGAAUUUUAUGUUUGGAUGAGAUCAUAUAAUAUACCUUCGGAUAAAUCCACAGUUUCUAUUUGGAAUCAUAGUUUGUGAUCUAUUUGGUUUAUCCAUGGUUUAAAUUCAAAGAUGCCAAAUUGAGCAUGCCUCAGGUUUGCUACACAGCAUGAGGGGAAAAAAUGACCACUAAGAGCCAUGUGGUUCCACCCUGCUAUUUUCUUUUUUUUUUCUAACAUACGUCUAUCUUGCUGACCUCUGCUCCAUACCCAUGAUCUCUUAUCUAGGCCAUGAGCAGAGGACACAUUCUCCAGGGAUCAUAAUAAAUAAAAGAAGGUAAAGGGGAUUUUUUUUAAAAAAGAGGAGUACAAAUUACAGUUCCAGGAAAACUGGAAAGCAAAAUGUAAAUGAGAGUCCCUCAUUAUUUCUUUUUAAGGAUACUGGCACACUUAAAAUGUGGAUUUAAAUGUAGGUUCAGUAUAUACACAUUUCUGUGUGUGCAUAUCGGGCCUGUGUGUGCUCCAUGCCUUUCUCCAGGAAGGCCAAAGUGCCCUCACACACCGAUUUCAGAUCACAUAGUGUCAGUGCAGCUGGGACCAGUGUGGGAGGCAGGCUACAGAAGUGACUAGAGCAGAGUUGGAAAGAAAACUAGAUUCUAAUCCAGUUCAGGCACCUAUCAGGUAGGUAAUCUUGGGCAAAAAUGUCUCUGUAUCGGCUUCUCAGGCUGCAGCUGUCAACAUCCAAUGGCACACCGGAAGUAAAGCGCCAUGCUAGGUGUAUAGCAGAUAGUCAGUAAAUGGCAGAGAGUUUGUGACCAUCACUCAAUGGAUGCCUGAGCAUGAGUGAUCAGCUGGCUUAGUGUCAUUCCAUUCCAUCUGCUGCGCAACAUCAAAUAAACGUGUGCACUGUGUAACAGGUGGCCACCAGUGGAUGCUUUAUCUGCAUGACACUGUGCAACUCUUUGCAAAGUUCUUGCCCUGGGUAGACUCUUUUCUGAGGCCUAUUUUAUCUCCCCAGCUCCCUGCCCUACUCCUACACAACACCUUGCACACACACACACACACACACACACACACACUGUUUACCAUUUAAUUGACUAGCUGUUUUAGCUUCCUGGACAGACAGCAACAGAGCUAAAAAUAGCUGGGUCCUCCCAAACCAGCAACCCUUUAAAGGAGCUAAAUUGCCCUGCUUUUAAUUCUCCACCAAAAUCUGAUCUCAGGCUUUAUAAAAGAGAAGCGCUAAGGGCCCUUCUACGAUAGAGUGUUCCGCAAUUGACAUGCUGUCCAUUGCUUGAAAGGUUUUGUACACUGGUACUUAAUCCUUGUUUCAGUUACAACCCCUGUAGGGAAAUCUGACUCCUGUACAUGAGUUCUUCAUUUAUUUCUGAGCCAAGAUAAUUCUAGGAUUACCACUUAGAAAAUUGGGAGAACAGACUUGGGCACAGUUUCCACCCAGACAGCAUUGAAAAGAGGGGCAUGUAGACUACCUUUUCGGUGACAAGGUUAGAGACAGGUAUUGUGGUUAAAUCCCAUUAGCAAGAACAUUACACUCAUUAAGUAAAUGCUAGAGUGGGAACUGAGAAGUCUUCUUCCCCCAUCCCACCCCCAGUGUCCUCUCCUUCUCCUGAUGGCAUGUCCCUUCCAUGCAGGGGACUCCUUGCCCAGGAAUGCCUGUCUGCAGUAAAUCACAGUGUACUCCCAUGCCAAGUGGCUCCAAAGCCAGAAACACACUGUAAAGAACACAUGCCAUUCUGCAAAACUCUACCAGCAUGCACCAUUCCUAAAUUGUCUCUCUCUUAUUUCUUGGGUGACCUUUAGGUUUCAGAAAGUAUUCCUUUGUGUUAAAGCAAACACAAACUGUUCUGCAAGCAUCAUUCAAGAAUUUAAAGAUUCUAUUAAUCUGAUGUCUUAAUUGUUAUUGAGAAGAGGAAACAGGAGUGUCUUUGUUUCCCGAAUGACCACAUGCUUCUCAAAAGUGGCCCACAGUGUUGGAGUUUGCAUCUCAAGUUGCAGGCAGCUCUGAGUUCAGUGGCACUUCGGUGGAACUAAUUUCCACACAGAAUGAGGGGCAGCACAAACUAAAGCUGAGCAAAUUCAAAGUGCAUCACAUGGAUCCAAAAUGAAGGCGUUGUUCUCCCAUUCUGAAAAGUAGUUUAAAAUAAGGACUAAACAACGUAUGUCUCCUCACUGAAGGAGCUAAGCGGGCUACUCACACAGACACACGCCCCACAGUGAGGAGCAUCAACCUGGACUCAAAAGAGAAAGAAACAUCCCGGCAGCCCUGAGGAAAAAACAAACAUGAAUGUAAUUUAAUGAAAGUACUCUAUGUGCCUACUAUGUGUAAGACAUUGAGGGUCCAGGCACAAAAAAAGGAAGUUUAGCUCCCAUCUCCCGACCAGGUACCUGCUGGUAGGAAUCCCAUAAAUUCCCUGAAAAGGGAAGAACAUCCAGCUUAGCUGAAAAAGACAUACAGAACCCAAAUACUGUAGCUCCAUGGGCGGGGCAGCAUUUGAAAUGUGCCUUAAAAGCCCAGUAAAAAUUCACUUUUAAAAGAUGAGUGAAGCCGGAUACACUCUAGGAGGCUGAGGCAGGACAAUCACAAUCAGGAGAUCAACCCAGGAAAAUCUGCAGUUUAGCGACACCUUGACUCAGGAAAGAAGGGAAAAGACGGGGUGUGUAGCUCAGUGCAAAGACCCCAAGUGCAAUCCCCAAUACUGCUGAAUAAACAAGAGUAAGCAUUACGGUUGAAGAAAUGAAGAUAAACUAAGCUAUGAGGCAGAGACCAAAAUGAAUAAAUAAUACAGGUGCUGCUGCAUUUCUACUGAGGCUAAAACCCAUCAUAAAUAGAAAAAAUCAAAAAUGUAUUUACUAUUCUUCACCUACUGGACAUCACAGCUGUGCCUGGCCUGCCUUCCUUACAUACAGUUAAGCAGCACCACCCAACUCAAAGCCCAUUUUAUAAUUAAGCAUUGACUAUCUCAGUUAACUUUCUGAAUGACAAUAUCCAAAACACACUGCCCGCACGGUGCCACCUACAGUUUCUGCGUUUCUCCUGCUGAAAUGACUCACUGCUGCUGUCCAGACUGGGAAGAAGCAUCACCACCUAUCACCAGCCCAGAACAGACUGAAUUCAAACUUCAGAGCCUGCUUCCCAGCCUACCCUGUGGCUUUCUUCCCAUCACAAAGUUGGUGCCUUCGGAGAAAGGAAAGAUCGUCUUCCUCCAGAUGAAACAGGUGUGUGUGUUCAGAGCAUUGGGAAUCCAGCAGAAGAGGCCUGGAAUUCUGUUCCCCUGCAGUUCUGCUGCUGCUUAACUUACCCAGGUACCGAGUCUCACCAAGUCUUACUUUUCUAAUCUGUAAAACUGAGGAUAAAAGAAUCCCCCAGCACACAGCAUCAUUAAACAUCCAUAAUUGGGAGCUCAGGUUGUGAGGAUUUUCUUUUGCA
Long non-coding RNA from Heterocephalus glaber (naked mole-rat), 5479 nucleotides. Lineage: Eukaryota; Metazoa; Chordata; Mammalia; Rodentia; Bathyergidae. The record is from Ensembl.